This 990-nucleotide long non-coding RNA is filed under the name Bemisia tabaci. RNAcentral describes it as "lncRNA ENSSSA3NGG014035". Lineage: Eukaryota; Metazoa; Arthropoda; Insecta; Hemiptera; Aleyrodidae. The record is from RNAcentral.
ACCAAAGAUAUCACAAACCUUGUUAUGAAAUUUUGUCAGUCCUCUGUGGCAAAUUCUCAAAUGAGUUUCGAUGACCAAUUGCAUCAUAUGGUAAAAUCACUGAGGUAAAGGACACAAUUUGUAAGAUUGAUAUGAAUAAACUGCACAAUUAACUGGCGCUCUAGUGCUUUCAGUCUUUCCAAACAUUGUGUGUGAUAAAAUGCCAUAAAUGUUAAGUAUGAACCAUUUCUAAUUUUUGCAGAUCAAUUGUAGUCCUAGAGAAUUAUCGUGUCAUUAUAUCUUAUUGCAUUUCUUUGUUUUACAGCGAAAAAGGUGGGACAAGUUCAACAGCUAAAGAAAUGAUAAAAAACAGAAUGGUAUACCUCAGCGUGGUCGAGGUCGAGGCAGGGGUAGAGGAGCUAGCAAUCUUGUUCAGACCAAGUCAAUUUUUUCGGAAGGAAUGGGUGACAGAAAAGGUGCCAAGUACAUGAAACCGUGUGAUGUAGAAUCUGUUCCUAGAACAUCAACUGUAACAAAAUCUAGUUUUUCUCAGGGUCAUAGCAGAGGUUCCAGAGAUAGAUCUUCAGGCACUUCAAAAUCAAGGAAAGAGCAUGGUGAAAGAUUGCCAGAUGAUGAUUUUAUCGAUGACGUAGAUGAAGGUGGCUAUGAAUAUUCCUUCAUGAAGCCUGUUAGCUUACCAUUACGAUUAUCUGAAAAUUAUGCCCUAGAAGAUAUCUGUGAUGAUGAAGAAAUAGCUCCUGGUGUUAAAAGUAAGUUGUUGCACCAUAGUCUAAUGUGUUUCUGUGACUAUUCAUAAUGUGAGGAAAUAUGAUUUUUUUAAAAAACUGAGUGUUUUUACAGGUAAAAAAUUAAAUUUUCGAAUGUAGGUAAUGUGUGCUCAACAUAUUAUUUGGCUUGUUCUGAUGACGUGAAACUACGAUCUGACCGUAACUAUCUUUACCUUAUGUCACAAAACACUUUACUCUAAUGUAAUAAUUGAAUGCCAAAUAG